This 1326-nucleotide long non-coding RNA is filed under the name Carassius auratus (goldfish). Its description in RNAcentral is "lncRNA (ENSCARG00000031066.1)". Lineage: Eukaryota; Metazoa; Chordata; Actinopteri; Cypriniformes; Cyprinidae. The record is from RNAcentral.
CGUCCUUUGUCUCAUGCUAAACAACGAUAUUUAAUGUAUCUGCCUUACUGUAAGGGUAGGUUUAGGGCUGGGGUAGGUGUAGACUUUAAUAAAAACGCAAUCUAAUUGGUAGAAAAUAAUAUUUAUUGCUGGUUUCCUGUAACUGUAUCCCUUUUAGCUACAACCGCGAAUAUAACACAUACUUACUGUAUUUGCAGUACUGUAAGGGUAUGAUUAGGGUUGUGGUAGGUGUAGACGUUAAUAAACCAUAACUUUACAGUAGAAUUUUCAUUGUGGAAUUGUACUACCCACUGUUUUGGUGGGAGGUAGGAAAAUCUGACUGCGUAGGACAAAUCGACAGAACAUACUUGCUGUCGGCUCGGCUGUUUAACGUUAAUCGUCUUUUUUUUUUUUUUUUUUUAAUGCUUCAAACAUUUUUCUAAACUAACUUGAUAAAGAAAUGAAAAGAAACAUAACACAAAACUGACCCCUUUUUUAAUUGCUGCAAAUAGGACAGGCUUCCGCUGUGUAAUAAAAUAAAUAAAUAAAAGCUCGGGCUGGACUCGGGCUGAUAAUUCGCUGCGCUGUCGGACACGGGUCGGGCUAGGGCCUGAGCGUCUCGGGCCAGGGCUGGGCUCGGGCCUAGAUUUGAGGCCCGUGCAGGGCUCUAGUGUAAGUUUUUGUUUUAUAGACAAAAGUUUUUAAACCAAAGUUCUAAAAAAAUGUUGCUUUUAUCUUUUCCUUUUUACAGGCGAUGAAAACAAUGCAGAAGAUUUCAAAAACUACAUUCUAACGACAUAUCCAAAACUUGGUGACUGUGGGGGAUUUGAGAUUUUAAAAACAUCAGGCAUGACCCGAUCUAGGAAUCUGGUGGUGUUGCCUUGCCCAAACACAGGGUACACAAUUAAGGCUCUAAAAGAAAAUAUGGGACAUGCUGUCAUCUACAUACGUCCUAUGCAAAAAGACAUAGAACUGUCCAGUUCUGUUGUCUGUGAAUCUCCCAUGCUUGGGCCAAUGGAGAGAUGUCUUACCUGUGAAAAACAGUUCAAUUUCAAUGAACUUAAGGUUCACAUUGAGAGCUGCAGGCCUAGGACUGAAUGUUCCAAUCACCUGCCACCAACAUUAGAGAACGAACACCUAAAUGCACAGACUUCAGACAGUGAUUCACUCAUCAACCAGUCUCCCACUGAGGAAAAUACUGACCAGCUGUUCAUCGAUUUAACAGAUGAAAAAACGGACAUGGAAUCUUUAAGUGAAUGGCGGAGGAUGCGUGAGGAGCAGGAUGAUGAAUAUAAUCAGUCUUUGAUAGCAGAUCAAGCCAAAGUAUGUAGGGUAAACUUUAUAACA